Bubalus bubalis (water buffalo) is the source of this 2748-nucleotide long non-coding RNA. RefSeq lists it as uncharacterized. The record is from RefSeq and is a predicted model, not a curated record. Lineage: Eukaryota; Metazoa; Chordata; Mammalia; Artiodactyla; Bovidae. The transcript has 2 exons.
CUUCUGGGGUCUUUGUUUGGGGUGUUUUGCACUGGCAUUUAACUCUUUCCUGUCUUCAGAGCAAUGAAAGCAGCUGUGGAGUAGAUUCUAAGGCCAGGGAGGCGCUGGAGCACACUCUGCCCGUGUCUUGUCCCCUUAUCCUGUCAUGGCGCCAGUGUCUUUAGGUAGGACCCCGGCAGCUCUGUGUGAGUAGGGGGAUUCCUGUUCCAGAGCAUGUUGCUCGGUACACUAAAGCCAUCUCUUCAGAAGGGCAGGUUUUGGAUUUGUUUGUUUUCUUUCUUGAAUGUUGUCUGUGGCUCUUAAUGGCUGUGGAUGGAAGUGGCUCAGUCCUGCGGAGUGGAGAGCUGGGGUCUGGUCUGGACUGUGACUCCACGACUUCAGAGUAAGCAUUUCCCAGAUGUCCAUGGGACAUGUUUAUAUUGAAAACUGGCUGUACCGUACUUUAUCUGGCUACCUGACCUCAAACCCUGCCUCCUUGAAUCUCCCUUUACAUUGUGAUUCUCCCUCUCUUUUGAGGUCCAUCGGCUCUGGAAGCUUUAGACCUGAAGUGUGCACACACAGCUGUGCCAGUUUAGGGGCUCACAGGCUCACUGCCCCUCCCUUUGGGCUCCCUAGACGAGAUGAUCUGUAGUGUUCAUGAUCUCAGGGUCAGGAGAGAGGGCUGUGACUCUUUCCGUUGCUUCUCAAAACCUGAAGAAAACUGAAAUCUGAACCUGAGAAACCUCUUCCCCACUCCCCUUAUCUUUGUUUUUUUCUCGCCUGACUUGUUUUCAGCUGAGCCUGCUCAAAGAUUCCGCCGUUUGUUCUAAAUGACAGAGGGGAAGGUGAGGCGUGGGAGGGGGAGCCGUGGCCAGGACUGACUCUUCCCUCAAAAGCUCCUUUAGGAGAAUCGGCGUCAGGACACCGUGCUUUCUGGGCCUGGUCCUCUCCUCCCCCACAUCCCCUCCCCGCCCAGCUGUUGUUUACUGGGAGCCAGGAGUCUGGCCCGGCCGAGUGGCCCGACUGCUGGCGCACUACCCGCUCUCAGCUUAUCAGCACACGCUCGCCCCAGCACACUUCCUCACCACCCAGUGCUGCCAGCCUGUGCUGACUCACUUGGUCUUACCCUCUUGGCUUCCUUCCUUUCCUCUUCACUUCUCUGUCUCUUGAGCGCUGGGCUCCAGGGAACAGUGACCAACCUACCUGGACUCAAGCCCGAGUAGGGAGCCCAUUACCUACCCCCAGGUCAGCGGGGCGCAGUCAAGGAGCUGGGGCAGACCUAUCAGAGUAGUGAGCCAGGCCCACAUGGAGCAGGGAGGGGCUGCCUGGGCCCGAUGUCCAGGGUGAACUGUGGCGAUUGGAGGUCAUGCUUUGCUGCCAGAAGGAUACUUCUUCCUCAGACUCACCUGUGGGCUUCGAAUGAAAGUCCUUAUGAAUGAGCCUGAGGAAGUAACGGGUGGCGAGUGAGCAGGCUCCAGAAUCGGGUGACCCGAGUUUAAAUUCCAGCUCUGCUGGCACUGGCUGGGCGCCCCUGAGGACAGCCCUUGCCUCUCUGAACCUCACUUUCUGUCCUGUGAAAAGAGGAUAAUGUCCAUGUGACAAGGUUGCUGCAGUUAAUUAGGAAAUAAUGCACAGACCAAGUGACUGUCCUGAUGCCCUGGCGCAUCAAACCUGAGGUCAAAUGCAGAUGGAGCUGCCCUGCGGAGAGGGCUGUGGCCCCUAUAAGCGCUCUGCUUCAGUCUGUUAGAAGAGAGACCCAAGGGGAGGCACAUGAGACCACUUGAAUGCCUCCCAGACGUAGUUUGCAAGGAAUAGGCUCAUCAAACACUGUAUCAUACUUGCAGGGUGGUGGUGAAUUGGUAGUGGAAAUUUUGGAUAGGAAAGAAAAAAGCAGUGAAAAUUCCUUUGUGCAACUUUGAGAAUCGCAUCCCUGGAGGCCUUUGUUUUCCCCUGCCACUAGGAAGGAGUAAAUGAAGCUGGUGCUCGUGCACCCCCUCCUGGCUGAGUGUGGACGUGCCCCGAGGAUCUCCAGACUGCAGGCAUUCUGAGUUAUGACCAUCCUGUGAGGGGUGGAAACAGCUGGGCCCGCUGAAAAUGGCUGCAGAGACAUUGCUGCAGUGUUUUCCUGGCUUCCAGCCUGGGCAUCUUCAUGCCUGUCACUUUACCCCUAGUGUUCAGCUGGGCUUUCUUGAUUCUGCCGCAAGGACUGCCCCAUUACACAGGUUCUAGGUCUCUUCAGUGGGAACAAGAAGAAAACCAUCUGACUUGAUAACAAGGAUAAACCUUGAGACUGAGGGUCAUGUAGGGACAUGAGGAGGUGAAGGACACAUGAGGAGGUGAAAACAGCAGGUGAAUUCAUGCACCCACCUGCUCAUUCUGUCUCCUCCUGAGUUGCAUCUGUCUGUCUUUUCCCCCACCGACUGUGUGCAGCGUGGCCUUCGUGCCCACCAUAAUUAAUGAAAGAUCUUUUCUUCCUCAGAAAAGGCAAAGGCAGGGGUGCAAUUUGUGGUUUGAACUGUGGACACCAGAUUGAUGUUAAUAGAAAACUUGUUGCCCCGUGACCUACCUUCACAGGAACCUCAUCCCUUCCUGCCUAGCAGGUUCCACAUGCACACUCACAGACGGGGGGCUAAAGGGGCAGAUUUGGGGGCCAGUUUGUAAGGAAUACAGUGGCACCACAGCCAGACACCGCGGUGGCUGAGGGAGUGGCUGCUCAGGAGAAUGGACACCCCUGAAACGUAGCCCCUGGGCUGACCUCACGGCCCCGCA